CAGUAGCCGCGGUAAUACGGAGGGUGCAAGCGUUAUCCGGAUUCACUGGGUUUAAAGGGUGCGUAGGCGGAUCUGUAAGUCAGUGGUGAAAUCUCCAGGCUUAACCUGGAAACUGCCGUUGAUACUAUAGGUCUUGAAUUUUGUGGAGGUUAGCGGAAUAUGUCAUGUAGCGGUGAAAUGCAUAGAUAUGACAUAGAACACUAAUUGCGAAGGCAGCUGGCUACACAACUAUUGACGCUGAGGCACGAAAGCGUGGGGAUCAAACAGGAUUAGAUACCCCCGUAGUCCCUGUCUCUUAUAC
This 301-nucleotide ribosomal RNA is filed under the name uncultured bacterium. Its description in RNAcentral is "partial 16S ribosomal RNA". It matches the Rfam family "Bacterial small subunit ribosomal RNA", at positions 509 to 807 of the family's 1533-position model. The record is from RNAcentral.